UGUUUCGGCUAGGGGGUCAUCCCGACUUACCAACCCGAUGCAAACUACGAAUACCGAAGAAUGUUAUCACGGGAGACACACGGCGGGUGCUAACGUCCGUCGUGAAGAGGGAAACAACCCAGACCGCCAGCUAAGGUCCCAAAGUCAUGGUUAAGUGGGAAACGAUGUGGGAAGGCACAGACAGCCAGGAUGUUGGCUUAGAAGCAGCCAUCAUUUAAAGAAAGCGUAAUAGCUCACUGGUCGAGUCGGCCUGCGCGGAAGAUGUAACGGGGCUAAACCAUGCACCGAAGCUGCGGCAGCGACACUAUGUGUUGUUGGGUAGGGGAGCGUUCUGUAAGCCUGCGAAGGUGUGCUGUGAGGCAUGCUGGAGGUAUCAGAAGUGCGAAUGCUGACAUAAGUAACGAUAAAGCGGGUGAAAAGCCCGCUCGCCGGAAGACCAAGGGUUCCUGUCCAACGUUAAUCGGGGCAGGGUGAGUCGACCCCUAAGGCGAGGCCGAAAGGCGUAGUCGAUGGGAAACAGGUUAAUAUUCCUGUACUUGGUGUUACUGCGAAGGGGGGACGGAGAAGGCUAUGUUAGCCGGGCGACGGUUGUCCCGGUUUAAGCAUGUAGGCUGGUUGUCCAGGCAAAUCCGGAUAAUCAAGGCUGAGGUGUGAUGACGAGGCACUACGGUGCUGAAGUAACAAAUGCCCUGCUUCCAGGAAAAG
RNAcentral lists this ribosomal RNA (705 nucleotides) under Klebsiella pneumoniae. Its description in RNAcentral is "partial 23S ribosomal RNA". It matches the Rfam family "Bacterial large subunit ribosomal RNA", at positions 911 to 1617 of the family's 2925-position model. The record is from RNAcentral. Lineage: Bacteria; Pseudomonadati; Pseudomonadota; Gammaproteobacteria; Enterobacterales; Enterobacteriaceae.